GACGAACGCUGGCGGCGUGCUUAACACAUGCAAGUCGAACGGAAAGGCCCUGCUUUUGUGGGGUGCUCGAGUGGCGAACGGGUGAGUAACACGUGAGUAACCUGCCCUUGACUUUGGGAUAACUUCAGGAAACUGGGGCUAAUACCGGAUAGGAGCUCCUGCUGCAUGGUGGGGGUUGGAAAGUUUCGGCGGUUGGGGAUGGACUCGCGGCUUAUCAGCUUGUUGGUGGGGGAGUGGCUUACCAAGGCUUUGACGGGUAGCCGGCCUGAGAGGGUGACCGGCCACACGGGGAGUGAGACACGGCCCAGAGUCCUACGGGAGGCAGGAGUAGGGACUCUUCCGCAAUGGGCGGAAGCCUGGCGGAGGCACGCCGCGUGAGUGAAGAAGGCGUUCGGUGCGGAAAGCUCUGUGGUUAGGGAAGAAAGGAUAUGGCGUGACAAUAACGGUAAGAGACGGUAACUAACCAGAAAGCCACGGCUAACUACGUG
This 488-nucleotide ribosomal RNA is filed under the name uncultured bacterium. RNAcentral's name for it is "partial 16S ribosomal RNA". It matches the Rfam family "Bacterial small subunit ribosomal RNA", at positions 28 to 507 of the family's 1533-position model. The record is from RNAcentral.